Molecule: long non-coding RNA, 905 nt
Organism: Pseudophryne corroboree (corroboree frog)
Lineage: Eukaryota; Metazoa; Chordata; Amphibia; Anura; Myobatrachidae
Exons: 3
Source: RefSeq, a predicted model, not a curated record
UUAAGCUGACAAUUUAAUUUUGUGUCAAACAAUACUGUGAUGUUGCUAAAUAGUGUCCUUAUUUUUUUACUAUUCUAACAUCAUGAUUAUUUAAACAAAAACACAAACAAAUGAAACUGAAUGUUGCCCACUUUGUGAAUGUCCAGCUGAAAGACCACACAAACUGAGGACGACCACAACGGCAAGCACCACAUGAUGCACCAGCUCAGCACCCUUCCCCUUCUCACUCCCCCUCCACUUCCCAGUCCCCCUCCUCUUCUCACUCCCCCUCCCCUUCUCACUCCCCCUCCCCUUCUCACUCCCCCUCCCCUUCUCACUCCCCCUCAGCUUCCCAAUCCCCCUCAGCUUCCCAAUCACCCUCAGCUUCACAAUCCACCUCAGCUUCCCAGUCACCCUCAGCUUCCCAGGCCCCCUCAGCUUCCCAGGCCCCCUCAGCUUCCCAGGCCCACUCCACUUUCCACUCCCCUUCUCAGCCAACCUCUCCUUCUCUUUCUGUGACCCCUUCUCCUCCUUCCCAUACCCCUUCUCCUUCUACUUCCAACUCACCUUCUCAGCCCCCCUCACCCUCUAUUGGCCUAACAUUUUCACCGCCCCCCUCGCCCUCUCAAUCAGACCCACCCUCUGAAAUUACAUCCCCAAUCCAACCUCCUUCCCCCAUCCAGCCUCCUUCCCCCAUCCAGCCUCCUUCCCCCAUCCAGCCUCCUUCCCCCAUCCAGCCUCCUUCCCCAAUCCCUCCUCCUUCCCCCAUCCAGCCGCCUUCCCCCAUCCAGCCGCCAUCCCCACCCAGUGAAUGGGCAGAGGAAGCCCCUGAAGACAGUUCAGGGAGUCUUCAUGUUGCCGAGGAAAAUGUUGCAGUUGGAGAUCCUACAAGUUUUGGAGGCAUUCUUUACACCAUGCGCCAACAC